GAUGAACGCUGGCGGCGUGCUUAACACAUGCAAGUCGAACGGUCAAGCCGGGGCUUUCUCUGCUGGAUCAUUGGCGAACGGGUGAGUAUCACGUGAGCAAACUGCCCCUGACUCUGGGAUAAGAGCUGGAGACAGCGUAUAAUACUGGGUACGAGCUGCGAAGGCAUCUUGAGCAGCUGGAAAGAACGGCGGUAAGGGAUGGGCUCGCGGCCUACCAGCUUCUUGGUGAGGUAACGGCUCACCAAGCGGUCGAAGGGUAGCCGGCCUGAGAGGGUGGACAGCGACCAUGCGACUGAGGGAGGGAGCAGUAGGCUACGGGACGCAACAGGGGGGAAUAUUGCGGAGUGGGGGAAAGCGUGAUGCAGCAGCGCCGCGUGCGGGACGACGUCCUUCGGGUUGUAAACCUCUGUUAGCAGGGAUGAAGCGAUAGUGACGGUACCUGCAGAAAAAGCGCCGGCUAACUACGUG
Molecule: ribosomal RNA, 468 nt
Filed under: uncultured bacterium
Lineage: Bacteria
Description: partial 16S ribosomal RNA
Rfam family: Bacterial small subunit ribosomal RNA
Source: RNAcentral